UUAAGCUACUAAGAGCAUAGGGUGAAUGCCUAGGCACCAAAAGCCGAUGAAAGACGUGACAAGCUGCGAUAAGCCUUGGGGAGGAGCACAUAUCCUUUGAUCCAGGGAUUUCUGAAUGAGGAAACUCAGCUGGGAAAAAGAGCCCAGUUAUCCACACAUGAGUAAAGUAGUGUGUGAGAAGGGAACGUGGAGAACUGAAACAUCUUAGUACCCACAGGAAAAGAAAGAAAAAUCGAUAUCGAAAGUAGUGGCGAGCGAAAUCGAUAGAGCCCAAACCAGAAUCAGUAAUGAUACUGGGGUUCGGACAGCAUAAUUGAUUAAACGAGGAUAGCAAAACUGUUUUGGAAAAGCAGACUAUAAAGGGUGAAAGUCCCGUAUGCGAAAUUCAAGUUUACAUGGCUGUAUCCAGAGUAGUGCGAGACACGAGAAAUCUCGUAUGAAUGAGCGGGGACCAUUCCGUAAGGCUAAAUACUAAUUGGUGACCGAUAGCGAACUAGUACCGUGAGGGAAAGGUGAAAAGAACCCCGGGAGGGGAGUGAAAUAGAAUCUGAAACCCUAUGUUUACAAGCAGACAGAGCGAUUUAAGGCGCGAUGUCGUACUUUUUGUAGAACGGUCCAGCGAGUUAUAGUGUAUGGCAAGGUUAAGUUUUAAGUAAGGAACGGAGCCGAAGCGAAAGCGAGUCUGAAUAGGGCGAAUUAAGUCAUGCGUUAUAGACCCGAAACCGGGUGACCUAUCCAUGGUCAGGAUGAAGCAAGAGUAAAAUCUUGUGGAGGUCCGAACUGAUUGUCGUUAAAAAGGCACCGGAUGAACUGUGGAUAGCGGAGAAAUUCCAAUCGAACUCGGAGAUAGCUGGUUCUCCUCGAAAUAGCUUUAGGGCUAGCCUUGGAGGAAGACGAAUGGAGGUAGAGCACUGAAUGAGGUAGGGGCCUAACCAGGUUACCGAACUCUAUCAAACUCCGAAUGCCAUUCGUUAAUAUCCAGGAGUCAGACUACGGGAGCUAAGUUCCGUGGUCAAAAGGAAAAGAGUCCAGAUCGUCAAUUAAGGUCCCAAAUGGAUAGCUAAGUGGAAAACGAUGUGAUUUUGCGUAAACAACCAGGAUGUUGGCUCAGAAGCAGCCAUUCAUUAAAAGAGUGCGUAAUAGCUCACUGGUCGAGUGAAGUUGCGCGGAAAAUUACCGGGGCUAAGUUAUCAACCGAAAUUGCGGAUUUGUAAUUUAUUACAAGUGGUAGAGGAGCAUUCUAUUGUAGGAUGAAGUCAGAGCGUGAGCACUGGUGGACGAGAUAGAAGAGAGAAUGCUGGAAUAAGUAGCGAGAGCAGGGUGAGAAUCCCUGCCGUCGAAAGUCUAAGGUUUCCUGGGGAAGGUUCGUCCGCCCAGGGUUAGUCAGGACCUAAGGAGAGGCCGAAAGGCGUAUCUGAUGGAUAGCAGGUUGAUAUUCCUGCACUAUAUAAUACUUAAAAGAUGCAACUGACGCAGAAGUGGAAGGUGAGCAAGGAAAUGGAAAAACUUGUUCCGCAAGGGGGAGUGAAAAUAAAGUAACGAAGCACCAAGAAGCACGCUGACGAGAAAAGGUUGUAGAUCUUGUAUUAUAUACUUGUACCGCAAACCGACACAGGUAGAUGAGGAGAGGAUCCUAAGACGAUCGGGAGAAGCAUUGUUAAGGAACUCGGCAAAUUGACCCCGUAACUUUGGAAGAAGGGGUACUGGUGUAACAGCCAGUCGCAGAGAAUUGUCCCAAGCAACUGUUUAACAAAAACAUAGGUUUCUGCUAAAUCGAAAGAUGAAGUAUAGGAGCUGACGCCUGCCCAGUGCUGGAAGGUUAAGGGAACGUGUUAAUAGUAAUAUGAAGCACCGAACUGAAGCCCCAGUGAACGGCGGCCGUAACUAUAACGGUCCUAAGGUAGCGAAAUUCCUUGUCAGGUAAGUUCUGACCCGCACGAAAGG
Molecule: ribosomal RNA, 1944 nt
Filed under: human metagenome
Description: bacterial LSU rRNA
Rfam family: Bacterial large subunit ribosomal RNA
Source: RNAcentral